This 2587-nucleotide long non-coding RNA is filed under the name Homo sapiens (human). RNAcentral describes it as "HSALNT0379819". The record is from RNAcentral. Lineage: Eukaryota; Metazoa; Chordata; Mammalia; Primates; Hominidae.
GUGGGGGUGGGUGUGGGAGGGGAUGGUUUCAGGAUGAAACUGUUCCACCUCAGAUCAUCAGGUGUUAGAUUCUCAUAAGAGGUGCCCAACCUACAUCCGUCGCACCUGCAGUCCACAAUAGGGUUUGUGCUCCUAUGGGAAUGUAAUGCCACACUGAUCUGACAGGAGGCGGGGCUCAGGUAGUAAUGCUCACUCACCUGCCGCUCACCUCCUGCUGUGGGGCCGGUUCCCAACAGGCCAUGGAAUGCUUACUGGUCCACAGCCCUGGACUUGGGCACCCCUCUUCUAAGGCACAAACUUCUACUGUCUUAGGAGCAGCACCCUGGCCUCCACAGCAGGGAGAGAGCAGGAAUACCCAGCCACAGAUAUUGAUGAAGAUAUUGAUCAACUUCCUACCGUCAUGGUGGAGCCAUGCCUGGAGGCCUCUGGAUGGUCAUCAGGUAACCCCAGCACAUUUUCCUGUCCCAGACUCCUGGCCACGCUGAGGUUGCUGUGAACAGACACGAUGUGCAGGGUCAUGGAUGUGAAGCUAGAACUCCUUGACAAGCAGGAGCUUUAUUUUAUGGCCCAAGCAGUUUGGAAACAAAAUCAUAAAGUGCUUACCCAUCCAGUGUCUCCCCAGCCUGCACUGGGAGGUAUCAAACUGACCAGAUCCGACAGCCCCUUCCGCCCGCAGAAGAUGGGUCUGCGUUUCUCUGUCUUUCCCUCUUGGUGGCCAAGAACUGUCAACAUCCAGCUGUGGCUCUGCACUCAGCCGCCACUCAGCCUGCUCAGGUUGAAAGGUCAAAUGUUGUCUGGAAUUGGCAGCCCAGCUUACUAGCAGCUCUUCUGUCUUCAGAGUGCAGCGAGGGGAGCUGUCAGAGGGCUGAGGCAAGGACCAGAGAGGCAACUCCUGCGACAGAGAAAGCUCAUCCCUGGGUAUGUUCUGGAGGGAGAAUAGCAGGGUCUGUCCCAGGAACUUUAUUAGCUAGCGGUUAAGAUCCUCAUCCCCAGAAAAGCCAAUAGGAAUUAGCUGGGUGAUGUGUGCCUAUGGUCCCAGCCACUCAGGAGGGUGAGGAGGGAGAAUUGCUUGAGCCCAGGAGGUUGAGGCUGCAGCUAGCUAUGAUUGUGUCACUGCGCUCCAGCCUGGGUGACAAAGCAAGAUCCUGACUCAAAACAAAAAAAAAAGGAAGAAAGAAGAAAGAGAGAACGAAGAAAGAAAGGAAAGAAAGAGAAACAGAGAAGGAAGGAAGGAAGGAGAAAGGAAAGAAGGAAGGAAGAAAAGGAAGAAAGAAUGACAAAAGGAAGGAAGGAAAGAAAGAUGAAAAGAAAAGGAAAGGAAAAGAAAAGAAAAAAGAAAGGAAAAAAGAAAAGCAGAUAGGAAAGUGAGGGGAGAGGGCCAGGAAGACAGAAGACAGGAUGGGCAAGAAGGAUGGGAAGGAUUCCCACACCAGAUUCAGGAGUGGCUCUGCAUUGGGAAAUCCUUCUACAACUGCUGGGGACUUGGUUUUGCAAACAUGCACAGAGAAACCUUCAUCCACCUCUGUGCAAUGUUGGACUGAAGUAGAAAUGAGCUGCUGUUUUCUGGAAGCACCCCAUUUCUUUGAGCUGAUCUUCUCUAAUAAUGAAUUCUGGUGAAGCCUGCCAUUCACAGCACCCCGCCCUCCCGUCUGUAGGAGGUGGGCACAGGACCCAGGCCAGCUGAUCAGAGAGCUCCCUUGCCCUGGGAUGAGCACGUGACCCAGAUGGCUCAAUCACGGGGAAGAUCCUCUUGCCUGUUGUAGCCACUAUGCUGGAAGAACAGGAUUUGGGCUUGUUGGCCGCCAUCUUCCAGUCCACACUGGGAACCCAUUUGCAGGAGGAGGGAAGGAGGACAACCCAGUUUGAGGGAGCAUAUGGACAGCAGCUGUGGAAGGCUCCAUAUGUGCCCAAUACUAGAUCUACCCCAUCCCUUCCUGUUCCAUAAAUCCAUACAUCUUCUCCCACUUUUGCUUACCCUAGUUUGAGUUACAUUUCUGACACCUGCCACCAUAAAAGCCCAAAUGAUUACAAGGAAUAUUUGGCUGCAGAAAAGACCCUGCAGUCUGUGAAAAAAGAGGCUGCUGGUGCAUAGUCAUCACAGACCAGUGCAAAGAGUGAAACAGAAACAUCCAGCUUAAUCUGCAAAAGCCUUUUUGGAUCUUUGAGAGGCGUUCAUUAACUUACAGCAAAUUGAUGAGCUGAUAUUCUUCUUUCAUCCAGGAACUUAGGCCAGCUCCCAUCCAGUUCAAUCAGGUUGGGACCACCAAUUCUUCAAUGGGCCUGCCCAAAUGCCCAAGAAGUGGACUUUUGAUGUCAGAGGGCCAAAGAUCCCACCCUCAGAUCAUGCUAAUGCCACCACUUUCUGUACACAUGUCCUGUGAAAUGCCACAAACCCUGACUACUACGCUUGUGCAGAACAAACCUAUCAAUUAAUUUUUCCCUACUGCCAAUCACCUUUCCCCAUGCCUUACACCACCGUGUUUCCCUAACGCAUAAAUAUCCCUAAGCCUUAUCUUCAGGAAGCAGGAUGUGAGAGCUGUUCUACCACCUUGUUUGGUGGCCUUGCAAAUAAAUCCUUUCUCUUUUG